UCAAGCUACAAAGAGCGCAAGGGGAAUGCCUUGGCACUGGGAGCCGACGAAGGACGUAGCGAUCUACGAUAAGCCACGGUGAGCCGAAAGCAGGCAUCGACCCGUGGAUUUCCGAAUGGGGCAACCUGGCUGAAUAGAACUCAGUCAACAUACGGUGAAUAAAAUAGUCGUAUGUAGGGAACCGCCUGAACUGAAACAUCUAAGUAGGGCGAGGAAAAGAAAUCAACCGAGAUUCCGCAAGUAGUGGCGAGCGAACGCGGAAGAGGCCAAACCGAGAGUAGUAAUACUUUCGGGGUUCGGACAGCGGACGGUAUGCUGAAGGUUAGCAGAAGGACAUGGGACGGUCCACCAAAGAGAGUGAGAGUCUCGUAUGCGAAAACUGAAAGCAGCCAGCUGAAUCCAGAGUACCGCCGGACACGUGAAACCCGGUGGGAAUAUGGGGGGACCAUCCUCCAAGCCUAAAUACUACCCAGUGACCGAUAGCGUAUAGUACUGUGAAGGAAAGGUGAAAAGAACCCCGGGAGGGGAGUGAAAAGAACCUGAAACCUUGUGCUUACAAGCACACAAAGCACGUCAAUGUGUGAUGUGGUACCUUUUGUAGAAUGGUCCGGCGAGUGAAUGUAACUGGCGAGGUUAAGUUCUUAAGGAACGGAGCCGAAGCGAAAGCAAGUCUGAACAGGGCGUCUUAGUCAGUUGUAUUCGACCCGAAACCGGGUGACCUAUCCAUGUCCAGGAUGAAGUUAAGGUAAAACUUGAUGGAGGUCCGAACCCACGGUCGUUGAAAUGCCCGGGGAUGAGAUGUGGAUAGCGGAGAAAUUCCAAUCGAACCCGGAUAUAGCUGGUUCUCUCCGAAAUAGCUUUAGGGCUAGCCUCGACUGAACAUUACCGGAGGUAGAGCACUGAAUGGGCUAGGGGCCGAGAGGUUACUGAACCCUAUCAAACUUCAAAUGCCGGAAAAUGAUAGUCGGGAGUCAGACUGCGUGAGAUAAGUUUCGUAGUCGAAAGGGAAACAGCCCAGACCCACAGCUAAGGUCCCAAAGUACGGUUAAGUGGAAAAGGAUGUGGAGUUGCACAGACAACCAGGAUGUUGGCUUAGAAGCAGCCACUCAUUAAAAGAGUGCGUAAUAGCUCACUGGUCGAGUGACUCUGCGCCGAAAAUUUAACGGGGCUAAAUCGUACACCGAAGCUUGGGAUGUAUCUAUGAUACAUGGUAGGAGAGCGUUGAAUGCGGGGUGAAGUCAGAGCGAAAGCGCUGGUGGACUGCAUUGAAGUGAGAAUGCCGGAAUGAGUAGCGAGAUUUAUGUGAGAAUCAUAAAGGCCGAAAGACUAAGGUUUCAGAAGGAAGGUUCGUCCGCUUCUGGUUAGCCGGGAGCUAAGGUGAGGCCGAAAGGCGUAGCCGAUGCACAUACGGUGGAGAUUCCGUAGCCGUCGAAAUAUUUAAGCAAAGGGACACUUAUGAAGGACAUGACCCGGGCGAUGGUAGCCCCGGGCGUAAGGGACUGAAAACAAGUAAGGAAGCAUGUUUGGAUUAAGGCGAGAAAAGCUUUGUGUAUAUAUGAGACGUCCGUACCGCAAACCGACACAGGUAGUCAGGAAGAGGAUUCUAAGGCCAACGGGAGAAGGGUAGUUAAGGAACUCGGCAAAUUGACCCCGUAACUUCGGAAUAAGGGGUGCUCACGAGAGUGAGCCGCAGUGAAUAGGUCCAGGCGACUGUUUAUCAAAAACACAGCUCUCUGCUAAAUCGAAAGAUGACGUAUAGGGGGUGACACCUGCCCGGUGCUGGAAGGUUAAGAGGAGGAGUGCAAGCUCCGAAUUGAAGCCCCAGUAAACGGCGGCCGUAACUAUAACGGUCCUAAGGUAGCGAAAUUCCUUGUCGGGUAAGUUCCGACCCGCACGAAUGGUGUAACGAUCUGGACACUGUCUCAACUACCCACCCGGCGAAAUUGUAGUACCGGUGAAGAUGCCGGUUACCCGCGGCAAGACGGAAAGACCCCAUGGAGCUUUACUGUAACUUGAUAUUGGGUCUUGGUAUUCUAUGUACAGGAUAGGCGGGAGACUAUGAAACAUACACGCCAGUGUAUGCGGAGUCACCCUUGGGAUACCGCUCUUAGAGUACUGAGAUUCUAACCUGCGGCCGUGAAUCCGGUCGGGGGACAUUGUCAGGUGGGCAGUUUGACUGGGGCGGUCGCCUCCAAAAGAGUAACGGAGGCGCUCAAAGGUUCGCUCAGCAUGGUCGGAAACCAUGCCUUAGAGUGUAAACGCAAAAGCGAGCCUAACUGCGAGGCUGACGGGCCGAGCAGUAACGAAAGUUGGAGUUAGUGAUCCGGCGGUAUGUGAAUGGAAAUGCCGUCGCUCAACGGAUAAAAGCUACCCUGGGGAUAACAGGCUGAUCUCCCCCAAGAGUCCACAUCGACGGGGAGGUUUGGCACCUCGAUGUCGGCUCAUCACAUCCUGGGGCUGUAUUCGGUCCCAAGGGUUCGGCUGUUCGCCGAUUAAAGUGGUACGCGAGCUGGGUUCAGAACGUCGUGAGACAGUUCGGUCCCUAUCUGUCGUGGGCGCAGGAUAUUUGAGGAGCUCUGUCCUUAGUACGAGAGGACCGGGAUGGACGUACCUCUGGUGCACCAGUUGUCAUGCCAAUGGCACGGCUGGGCAGCUACGUACGGAACGGAUAAACGCUGAAAGCAUCUAAGCGUGAAGCCGACUCCAAGAUUAGAUAUCCCAUUGCAUAAGCAAGUAAGACCCCUUGAGGACUACGAGGUUGAUAGGCUGCGUGUGUAAGUGUCGUGAGGCAUUUAGCUUGGCAGUACUAAUAGGUCGAGGGCUUGACCAC
RNAcentral lists this ribosomal RNA (2830 nucleotides) under human gut metagenome. RNAcentral describes it as "bacterial LSU rRNA". It matches the Rfam family "Bacterial large subunit ribosomal RNA". The record is from RNAcentral.